UGGGGAAUAUUGCACAAUGGGCGAAAGCCUGAUGCAGCGACGCCGCGUGCGGGAUGAAGGCCUUCGGGUUGUAAACCGCUUUUGAUUGGGAGCAAGCGAGAGUGAGUGUACCUUUCGAAUAAGCACCGGCUAACUACGUGCCAGCAGCCGCGGUAAUACGUAGGGUGCAAGCGUUAUCCGGAAUUAUUGGGCGUAAAGAGCUCGUAGGCGGUUUGUCGCGUCUGGUGUGAAAGUCCAUCGCUUAACGGUGGAUCUGCGCCGGGUACGGGCAGGCUAGAGUGCGACAGGGGAGACUGGAAUUCCCGGUGUAACGGUGGAAUGUGUAGAUAUCGGGAAGAACACCAAUGGCGAAGGCAGGUCUCUGGGUCGUCACUGACGCUGAGGAGCGAAAGCGUGGGGAGCGAACAGGAUUAGAUACCCUGGUAGUCCACGCCGUAAACGGUGGAUGCUGGAUGUGGGGCCCAUUCCACGGGUUCCGUGUCGGAGCUAACGCGUUAAGCAUCCCGCCUGGGGAGUACGGCCGCAAGGCUAAAACUCUAAAGUGAAUUGAC
This 551-nucleotide ribosomal RNA is filed under the name uncultured bacterium. RNAcentral's name for it is "partial 16S ribosomal RNA". It matches the Rfam family "Bacterial small subunit ribosomal RNA", at positions 355 to 914 of the family's 1533-position model. The record is from RNAcentral.